Molecule: long non-coding RNA, 3073 nt
Organism: Monodelphis domestica (gray short-tailed opossum)
Lineage: Eukaryota; Metazoa; Chordata; Mammalia; Didelphimorphia; Didelphidae
Source: RefSeq, a predicted model, not a curated record
CUCUUAAAAAAAGUUUUUGUUUUGUUUUUUUUUUCCCCUCUUUCUUAAUUACCUUUUGAUGAUUCUCUUGAGUUCUGUGCUUGGGCAUCAAAUUUUCUGUUCAGGUCUGGUAUUUUCUUUACAAAUGCUUAGAAUUCUUCUGUUUUGUUAAAUGACCAUACUUUCUCCUCUAGGAAUAUCAUCAGUUUUGCUGAGUAGUUGAUUCUUGAUUGUAGACCUAGUUCCCUUGUUUUCUGGAAUAUCAUAUUCCAUAUGCCUUUUGGUCCUUCAGUGUAGAUCCAGCCAGAUCAUGUGUUAUCCUCACUGUGCUUCCAUGGUAUCUGAAUGACUUCUUCUUAGCAGCUUGUAAUAUUUUUUCCUUGGUCUAAUAGUUCUUGAAUUUGACUAUAACAUUCCUGGGUGUUGUCAGUUAGGGAUUAACUAUAGGAGGUGAUCUGUGGAUUCUUUCAAUCUUCACUUUUCCCUCUUGUUCUAGAAUAUUGGGGCAGUUUUCUUGGAUAAUUUCCUGUAGUAUGAUGUUCAGACUUUUUCUUUUGUCAUGGUCUUCUGGUAGACCAAUGAUUCCUAAGUUGUCUCUCCUUGAACAAUUUUCUAAAUCUUCUGUUUUGUGAAUGAGAUGCUUCAUAUUUUCCUCAAUUUUUUUCAUUCUUUUGAUUGUUUUAUAGUGUCCUGCUACCUUGUGUAGUCACUUGCUUCUAUUUGUUGUAUUCUGGUUUGUAAAGACUGGAUUUCAUCCCUGGCUUUUCCUUCUGGUCUGAUUUUCUUUGGAGGUCAUCUUUCAUUUCCUUUGCCUCAUUUUCAAGCUGAUUAACUUUGGCCUUCAAGACACUGUUUUCCUUUUCCAGAUGACUUAUCUUGCUUUUAAAGUUUUCUUCAGCCUCUCUUAAUUGUGUUUUGAAUUGUAUUUUGAGUUCUUCCAGAGCCUUUAUCUAAUUCCCUGGGUUUUCCAUUUUUUUUUUUUGCUUGGAGUUCUCUCAUCCUUCUCUGUUCCAUUUGCUCUUUGUUCAUUGCCAUUAUAGAAGCUGUCAAUUGUAAUUUCUUUUUUAUUUUUAUGUUGUUUGCUCAUAUUUAUUCCUUCUUUACUCCCUGUUGUUGCCUGAGCUUUUGCUCCUCUCAUUUUUUUGUGGUUUUUGGCUUUUCUUUCUGCCUUCACUCUUAGAGUUUUGUCAGUAAAUCUCUCAAUGCAGUCUGUGAGGGAGGAGUAUUGGAGCUUGAGCUUCUCUGGCCUCUGGAACCUGUGAUGGGAUUAAGUCCAGCAAUCUGUGGGGAUGGGUUUUGACUUGAGCUUCCCUGGCCUCUGGAGGCUUGGAUGGGAUUAAGUCUGGCUAGGUUGAUGGAUGUACCCUGGGGCCAAAACCUUGGGAAGAGGGGGAGCAAUAUGGAGUGUUUCUGCUGCUGCAACUAUGCCUCCCACUCUGUGCUUUGUGUUUCUUCUCUAUCAGCUUCCCCACUGCCUGUAUUGUACACUCUGAGCCUGGCUUUGCCUUCAAGAUACUCCCUCCAGACCAGCACCUUUGCCUUACCAGAGGUUCCAGCUCUGCUGGAGGCUUAGCACUCUAGGUGGGGGAACGGUCCCAGGACCUUUCUUCUUCUUUUCCCUUAAAUUGGAGUGUUCUUGAAUUCCGGUUUUUUGGGGCAUACCUUUUAAGUUGAGUCCAGCAGGAGGGUUCCUGGGCUCUGUCUUGUUGUUAGGUUUGAUUUUCAAUCCCCUACGAGCAUUUAGUUUGCAAUCAGUAAGGAAGGGUUUUCAGAGGUCUGAACAUUUUCUGCCUCUAUGCUGCCAUCUUGACUCUGCUUCUCCAAUCAUAGGUUUUAGAUGUGUAAAUAAAUGAUUUCAGCAUUUGAAAUGCUAAAAAAAAAAGAAUGACUUAAGAAUUCACAGUUUAUUUAGACAGGAACAGACUAAUUCAGAGCAUAAACCUAAACUACCCCUGUUCAGUGUUUGUGGAAAAUGUUAUACUGAUUAGAGGAGAGAAUCAAAACACUUGUUAAAAAGACACUUGCUAGGUUCUAGGUUGCACUGAGAGGAGUAAAAACAGGUAGUGAAUUUUGUCAUCCCAUGACUUUAUCAUUUAUUUUGUUUACUUAUAGCUCCAUAUGAUUUUCAUUGCCUUUCCUUUCUUCUUUUCCUAGAGGGAGCUGUGGUUCACACCACAUCUGGAAGACUGGUUUUUCUACUGGAAUCACAGUCUUAAAUCAGGAUUUGCUCACUUUACAGCUGAAAAAAUCGAUGGACUAGAGAAAACUUGACCCAAAUUUAAAAACAGCAAUCUGGACCCAGAUUGUGCUCACCUGGUCCUGGCCCUGACCACUCCAGUGGUCUCUCUCUCUCACCUGGCCCAGUUGAUCCCUGGCCCCAGAAACUCUGGCCUUGGACCCAGAUGGCUCAUCACCCCAGGACCCAGGCUGCUGGUAACAGACUCAAUUUCUUCAGGAAUCAAAAACCACCUGUGGAUCAUGGCCAGAUAUGAAGAGGAAAUAGAUCUCAUUUUUGAAACUGAACUGUUUGGAGAAGACACCAUGAAGAUGACUCCAGACCACAGGCUGCAUGAGAAGAUCAAGAAUGAACUUUGGGUGUGGUUGAUUGAACAUUUAUUUGUAUGUAUACUUUCAUGCCAAAGAGGACUGCCCCCUAACUGUUUUUUUUUUUGUCAAUGCGUCUAGCAAUUAUUGGUUUUGUUCUUUUUUCCUCUUACCUCAAAUUAUUGUAAUCUUUAAGUUGAUUAUGUUUUCAUGAUCCUUUUUGGGGAAACCUUUCCCAAUAACGAUCAAACGGGAACAUGUUAAAAUGGAGAUUUGAACCCCAGACUUCAAUCCCCAGAAGUCCUUGGCAGUUCCCAGAAUUGCCUAUAAUCUCAUCAAAAUCCCCACCUGGGUGGAGAACAAAAUUUGUAUUUAAACUAACUGUACCACGGACUCUCUCUCUGCUUCAGAUUCUAAGCACACGUGCCUCUCAAGAUGUAGAGUAAGUUACUGUGAAUGGACUAUUCAGCCCUAGACACGUGCUUCUCUAAUUUUGUAUUUUCUUAUUUCCUUGAUUUCUAAUAAUCUUUAAUAAACCUAUAAAAUAUAA